Non-coding RNA from Acanthosepion pharaonis, 113 nucleotides. Lineage: Eukaryota; Metazoa; Mollusca; Cephalopoda; Sepiida; Sepiidae. The record is from the annotation of a GenBank genome assembly.
UAUGGUAAUAUCACUUUGAAACACCAGUUCCCAUAUGAUCACCAAAGUUAAGCAACACUGAGCCUGGUCAGUACCUAAAUGGGUGAGUGCUUGGGAAUACCAGGUGCUGUAAG